ACAACCCACUGCCUUGAGCACAUUUUAAAAAGCCGGUCAAACCCUCUAGAAGGGUCAGUCCCUAACACAGCAUGGAAAUGAGGGUCUCUGCGCAGUUCCUGGGUCUGCUGAUGCUCUGGCUCCCAAGUGCCAGAUGUGAUAUCCAGGUUACCCAGUCUCCAUCCUCCUUAUCUAUAUCUGUGGGAGAAAAAGUCACCAUGAAUUGUAGAGCAAGCCAGGAUAUUAACAAAUAUAUGUCCUGGUAUCAACAGAAACCAGGGGAGGCCCCUAAGCUACUGAUCUAUUAUGCAUCCACUUUGCAAUCAGGAGUCCCCUCCAGGUUCAGUGGCAGUGGGUCAGGGACAGAUUAUUCCUUUACCAUCAGCAGCCUGGAGCCUGAAGAUGUGGCAGAUUACUACUGUAUGCAAGGUGAUAGCUUUUACCACAGUGAUAGAAGUAAUGACAAAAACCACUCACAGAAGCAGAAGUGAGAGUGUAAGCUGCCCCAGACUCUUAUUUCUUCUCUUAUCUGAUGAUAGCAUUUUCCAUGUGCAGCCAGGAUAUGAGGGUAACCU
Acomys russatus (golden spiny mouse) is the source of this 554-nucleotide non-coding RNA. The record is from the annotation of a RefSeq genome assembly. NCBI's taxonomy places the organism in Eukaryota, Metazoa, Chordata, Mammalia, Rodentia, Muridae.